RNAcentral lists this long non-coding RNA (262 nucleotides) under Zea mays. RNAcentral's name for it is "long non-coding RNA NONZMAT004293". The record is from RNAcentral. Lineage: Eukaryota; Viridiplantae; Streptophyta; Magnoliopsida; Poales; Poaceae.
GAUGGUAUUUCUGAAAGCGAUUAUCUUUUGAUGCUCCGGAACCAAUUUUCCUUAGUUGGAAAUAAAAUAUUUAACUAUCCAGAUUUUCUUUGGCAGAAUACAACUAGGCCAAGAAUGAUAAGUAAGUUUGACUGUGAUUACUUUUCACUUAUGUCCGUGUAUAGAAGCUAGUAAUGGAGCCAGAUAACUUAAUGUGUGUAAAAGCAUAAUGUUUGCACCAUAAAACAUUAGCUAUUUUUAAUAUUAUUUCUUGUCAUUUUUG